Molecule: non-coding RNA, 71 nt
Organism: Bos taurus (domestic cattle)
Lineage: Eukaryota; Metazoa; Chordata; Mammalia; Artiodactyla; Bovidae
Source: Rfam
UCCUUGGUGGCUCAGAGGUUAAAGCGUCUGCCUGCAAUGCAGAGACCCAGGUUCAAUCCCUGGGUUGGGAA